UACGUAGGGUGCGAGCGUUAAUCGGAAUUACUGGGCGUAAAGCGUGCGCAGGCGGUUCGCCAAGUCAGGUGUGAAAUCCCCGGGCUUAACCUGGGAAUUGCGCUUGAAACUAGCGGGCUUGAGUGUGGCAGAGGGGGGUGGAAUUCCACGUGUAGCAGUGAAAUGCGUAGAUAUGCGGAGGAACACCGAUGGCGAAGGCAAUCCCCUGGGCCUGUACUGACGCUCAUGCACGAAAGCGUGGGAAGCAAACAGG
Molecule: ribosomal RNA, 253 nt
Filed under: uncultured prokaryote
Description: partial 16S ribosomal RNA
Rfam family: Bacterial small subunit ribosomal RNA
Source: RNAcentral